RNAcentral lists this ribosomal RNA (461 nucleotides) under Escherichia coli. RNAcentral's name for it is "bacterial SSU rRNA". It matches the Rfam family "Bacterial small subunit ribosomal RNA", at positions 338 to 795 of the family's 1533-position model. The record is from RNAcentral. Lineage: Bacteria; Pseudomonadati; Pseudomonadota; Gammaproteobacteria; Enterobacterales; Enterobacteriaceae.
CCUACGGGCGGCAGCAGUGAGGAAUAUUGGUCAAUGGACGAGAGUCUGAACCAGCCAAGUAGCGUGAAGGAUGACUGCCCUAUGGGUUGUAAACUUCUUUUAUACGGGAAUAAAGUGAGCCACGUGUGGCUUUUUGUAUGUACCGUAUGAAUAAGGAUCGGCUAACUCCGUGCCAGCAGCCGCGGUAAUACGGAGGAUCCGAGCGUUAUCCGGAUUUAUUGGGUUUAAAGGGAGCGUAGGCGGGUUGUUAAGUCAGUUGUGAAAGUUUGCGGCUCAACCGUAAAAUUGCAGUUGAUACUGGCGACCUUGAGUGCAACAGAGGUAGGCGGAAUUCGUGGUGUAGCGGUGAAAUGCUUAGAUAUCACGAAGAACUCCGAUUGCGAAGGCAGCUUACUGGAUUGUAACUGACGCUGAUGCUCGAAAGUGUGGGUAUCAAACAGGAUUAGAUACCCUCAGUAGUC